RNAcentral lists this non-coding RNA (213 nucleotides) under Lutibaculum baratangense AMV1. Lineage: Bacteria; Pseudomonadati; Pseudomonadota; Alphaproteobacteria; Hyphomicrobiales; Tepidamorphaceae. The record is from RNAcentral. RNAcentral also lists the same sequence under 1 other name.
CCACGCUCGGCAUGUCGUGGUUCUUCGGCGCGCAUCCCGCGUGCGUCGGAGCUAAGAGGGAAGCCGGUGCGCCCACGGGCAAGGCCGGCGCUGCCCCCGCAACUGUGAGCGGCGAGCCGACAUCCUGAUCAGGCCACUGGGACCAGAGCCCGGGAAGGCAGGACAAGGCCAGGACCCGCAAGCCAGGAGACCUGCCGCGACCUCGUGAAACGU